AUAUUGCGCAAUGGCCGCAAGGCUGACGCAGCGACGCCGCGUGGGGGAUGACGCAUUUCGGUGUGUAAACCCCUGUUGCCCGGGACGAACAACUGGUUUCGACCAGUCUGACGGUACCGGGUGAGGAAGCACCGGCUAACUCCGUGCCAGCAGCCGCGGUAAUACGGGGGGUGCGAGCGUUGUCCGGAAUCACUGGGCGUAAAGGGCGCGUAGGCGGUUGGAUAAGCGUGUGGUGAAAGUCCGGGGCUCAACCCCGGAUCGGCCGUGCGAACUGUUCGACUUGAGCACUGUAGAGGCAGGUGGAAUUCCGGGUGUAGCGGUGGAAUGCGUAGAGAUCCGGAAGAACACCGGUGGCGAAGGCGGCCUGCUGGGCAGUGGCUGACGCUGAGGCGCGACAGCGUGGGGAGCAAACAGGA
RNAcentral lists this ribosomal RNA (416 nucleotides) under uncultured bacterium. RNAcentral describes it as "bacterial SSU rRNA". It matches the Rfam family "Bacterial small subunit ribosomal RNA", at positions 361 to 777 of the family's 1533-position model. The record is from RNAcentral.